CGUUGUAGCAUACCUCACUGUAUAAUGUGAUCUAUGAUUUUAAUGAUACAUAAUAAUAAUUUAUAUUUGACAAUUGAAUAUGUAUUUAAUUUAAAUCAUAUCUGUGUAUUAAUAUCUCACUUCACACUUUGGAAUCAUGUGAACAAUUCAUCUAACCUCAAGAAUCUUGUGAUGAACAAUAGAAAGUGUAUGUUUUUUAUUCCAUGGAUGAGCUGGUACUUCUUUGAACAGAGGGCUGUUGGGGUUUUGAUCUAUCUUCUUUGAACAAAUUCGGAGAAGAUAGAUCAAAUACAUAGAGGAACAGAAUUCGUUUUUUUUGUCAUUUUCUAUAUGAAGAAAGAAAAUUCUUUGAUCACCCUGCAGAUCAAAGCAUUAGAUUGGAAUCUGACUUUCUGGUUGAAAAAUUUAUAGCUGAAUAAUUGAAGAGUUAGGUUGUUGAUGUUCUUCCUUCUUUUUUUUUCUAUCUGAAACAAAUGAUAUGAAAAUUUCUUGCAC
Molecule: long non-coding RNA, 495 nt
Filed under: Androctonus crassicauda
Lineage: Eukaryota; Metazoa; Arthropoda; Arachnida; Scorpiones; Buthidae
Source: RNAcentral